RNAcentral lists this long non-coding RNA (306 nucleotides) under Elaeis guineensis (African oil palm). RNAcentral describes it as "long non-coding RNA (EGUI_LNC063636)". Lineage: Eukaryota; Viridiplantae; Streptophyta; Magnoliopsida; Arecales; Arecaceae. The record is from RNAcentral.
ACCUCUCCUGGAUCCAGACCUGGCCCAUAAAGAGUUGGUCCCUUGAGGCCCACAUAACCUAGACCUCAAGAACCCAAAAGGUCCACAGCCUUUCAACCUAGGGCCCAACUAGCCCUAGAGUCUCCAUGAAGCCCUCAUGAAUGAUGGACCUUGGCCUUAGCCUUGGUCCCCUGGGCCUUGGGCACACCACCUGGAUCAUAACAAUCUCCACCUUGGUGUCCCAAGGCCUCAACCAGCUCCACUCUAUCCUUGCGACUAUAGACCCAUUUGCAGCCAAUGGGCCUCUUCCCCUGUGGCAACUGCACC